Molecule: ribosomal RNA, 436 nt
Filed under: uncultured bacterium
Lineage: Bacteria
Description: bacterial SSU rRNA
Rfam family: Bacterial small subunit ribosomal RNA
Source: RNAcentral
AACGAACGCUGGCGGCAUGCCUAACACAUGCAAGUCGAACGAGACCUUCGGGUCUAGUGGCGCACGGGUGCGUAACGCGUGGGAAUCUGCCCUUGGGUUCGGAAUAACAGUUAGAAAUGACUGCUAAUACCGGAUGAUGACGUAAGUCCAAAGAUUUAUCGCCCAGGGAUGAGCCCGCGUAGGAUUAGCUAGUUGGUGAGGUAAAGGCUCACCAAGGCGACGAUCCUUAGCGGUCUGAGAGGAUGAUCAGCCACACUGGGACUGAGACACGGCCCAGACUCCUACGGGAGGCAGCAGUGGGGAAUAUUGGACAAUGGGCGAAAGCCUGAUCCAGCAAUGCCGCGUGAGUGAUGAAGGCCUUAGGGUUGUAAAGCUCUUUUACCCGGGAUGAUAAUAGACAGUACCGGGAGAAUAAGCCCCGGCUAACUCCGUGCCA